Molecule: RNA transcript, 2883 nt
Organism: Zingiber officinale
Lineage: Eukaryota; Viridiplantae; Streptophyta; Magnoliopsida; Zingiberales; Zingiberaceae
Exons: 13
Source: RefSeq, a predicted model, not a curated record
GACCCUCUUCGCCUGCACCGCCCCAAUCGACCCCUCCCUCUCUUUCUAUAUCUCUCACAAUUUAAUCCCCCUUUAUUAUUAUUUUUUUUAUUAAAGCUCAAUUUCCACCCGCCCUCCUAAAAUCCUUGUUUCAAAUCGAUCGAUUUAAACCCCGCGUCGGGUUCCAUUCCAUGGCGUUCCACAUCGCUUGUCCGCUCACUUGCCGCCGGAUUUGCGACUGCGAUCUGGGAUUCGACUCUGCGCCGCGGCGCGAGGCUUUGGCUGCGGAGAUCGACGCGCUCGAGGAGUUCUUGAGGGAUCCAUGGGCCGUUCGCCCUGCCGCCGAGGAGGAGGAGGUGGAGGAGGAGGAAGAAGAGGGGGAGAAGGGUGUUGUCCAGGUCUGGGCCCCCCGUGUGGCGCCGCCCGCAGUGGCCGCCCCAUCCGUGGCGGCGGAUGAUGCCGGCGCGGGCGACGAGGUUAAGCGUGCGGUGCUGCAGCGGCAGGCGCUGGCUGCUUCCUUGGCAGCGGAGGAUUAUGUUCGGAGGUUGGAGACGGGUGGUGCAGCAGAGGCACCAGCAGAAGCAGCUAACAACCUUGAUGGAGAAUAUCAAGGGAACUCUGCUGUGAAGGUCAUGUGCCGUGUAUGUUUUUCUGGGGAACAUGAGGGAACUGAGAAAGCUUUGAAAAUGCUGUCUUGCAAAUCAUGCAACAAGAAGUACCACAGAAGUUGCUUAAAAACAUUGUCAGAGCAUAGAGAUUUAUUUGAUUGGAGUUCAUGGUCUUGCCCCGCUUGUCGCAUUUGUGAGAUUUGCAGAAGAACUGGUGAUCCUAAUAAACUAAUGUAUUGUAAAAGAUGUGACGGUGCUUAUCACUGUUAUUGUCAGCGUCCACCACACAAGAAUGUUGGUCGUGGACCUUAUUUGUGUCCAAAACAUACAAGGUGUCACAGCUGUGGUUCCAGUGUACCUGGAAGUGGUCCUAGUACAAGGUGGUUUUUAGGCUACACCUGCUGUGAUGCCUGUGGUAGAUUGUUUGUGAAAGGAAACUACUGUCCUAUUUGUCUAAAGGUCUACAGAGAUUCUGAAACUAUACCGAUGGUUUGCUGUGAUGUUUGUGAAAGAUGGGUCCACUGCCUAUGUGAUGGCAUCAGUGAUGAAAAGUAUCAGGAGUUCCAAGCAGAUCAAAAUUUACAAUAUCAAUGUGCUGCAUGCCGUGGUGAUUGUUACCAGGUCACAAAUAUAGAUGAUGCAGUGAAAGAACUUUGGAAGAGGCGAGAUAUUGUUGAUUGUGAUUUGAUAGCAAGUUUGAGGGAAGCUGCUGGCUUGCCUUCCAAGGAAGAAAUAAAUUCAAACUUUCCUUACUUGGAUAAUGAGCAAAUUGGUCCAAUCCUACAUAAAAAUGAUGGUAUCAAAUCCCUAAAGUUCUCAUUGAAAGGGAUUAAUGAUAAAUUUUCAAAAGAACAUGAGAAGAUUGUCUCAAACAAGAUGCAAGCAAAGAAAAUGGGAUAUCAGAUUAAGUUAAAUGGUAAAACAGAAGAUCCUAAACUUGAAGGACAGAAUGAGUUGACAUCACUAGAGAGAAGUUUAAGAAAUCAGAACGUCAGUGAGAUAAACUCCUUCAUAAAUGGUGGUUCAGAUAUAAUUUCAUCCUCCGCCUUACCUAAACUCAAAAUAAAGAGCAGCAAAUCACAAGGUCUUCGUUUUAAGGAAUGUUCUGCUAAAAGUACAAUUGAGAUGGAGACAACAAGAAGUACUAAGCUUGUUAUACACAUUAGCUCAAAAAACAAAAUUCCUGCAUCCAGUUCCCCAAGAUCUGAAACCUCAAGCUGUCAUAUGGAUCAAGACUUGAUUACUAACUUUGCAGGUGGUGAUGAUGCAAUCAAGCACAAGGUGACAGAUAGCGAGGAUGACCAUAAUCAUACUGUCCAACAAGAUACCACAGACGGUAAUGCAGACAACCAUUUGAGAAGUUCAAACCCUGGAAGUAAAGAAAACAGUCCAGCAAAGAGAGCUAAAGUCAAUGAGAAUCUCCAGAAAAUUAAUGGUGGUUUCCCUGAUGAAUGUCAACUUAAUGCUAGAAAACAUGAUCCAUCAAUGGGCAAGAAAAGGAAUGAGAGAAGCCUUUCUUCAGAAAAUGAAACCAUAGAACAAAGUGAAGACAUUAUUCAGAAGAGUAAAAGGAGGGAUAUAUCUAACAAGUCUGAGAAGGGCCACAGUGGAACUUCUCUCUCAAAGUUUACCUCGAGUUCCUGCCCAGAUACGAAGCCGUUCUUGAAACUCAAGUUUAAGAGUCCAUAUUUUGAACAGAAAAGCUCCUGGGCUCCUACAGGAGACGAAGACAACUCUGUUAAGGGACAGAGAUCGACAAGGAAGAGGCCUUCAACCGAUAAGAAUGGGUGGAUGGGAAAUGAAAAAUUAUCAAAAUUGCAUCUUGGUAUCUAAUGUCUGGAACAACUUAUGAAGCUUGGAUAUUGCAGAACCUGGAACGCCACCUGUUUUAAUGCCUAUAGAAAGCAACUAGCAGCUUAUAUAAAAUGAAUCGUGAAGUGGGUUAUUGAUGUCAGCCAAGGAGUCACUUCAUCAUCAUCUUCAUCUUUAUCUCUCUUUUUGGUGAAGCAUGCACAUCCAUGGAGAUCCGUAAUCCAGGAGCCGGUAAUCCAAGUGAUUCGUUUUGGUUCCCAGUAAAGUAAAUCAAAGGAGCUCUUGAAAUCAGGAGCUCUUGGAUAUGAAGCUCUUUGGAUUUGAUAGCCUGAUGCAUCUAAUUGUUCCAGGGUUCGCCUUCUAUGUAGUUGAAAAAACACUCGUCUUCUAAACAAAUUAUUUUGUAGCGAAGUUUUAAGACUGUCUCAGCAAAUCUUGUAACACCUGGUUAGUUAUUUGCAGAUUAUUGGAAGUUCUCAGUUAA